GUCCAGGGGCGGGAAUCGAACCCACAACCUUCUGCUUACCGGGCAGGUGCCAUGUUCACUAGGCUACCCUGGA
This 73-nucleotide transfer RNA is filed under the name Cordylochernes scorpioides. RNAcentral describes it as "tRNA-Thr". The record is from RNAcentral. Lineage: Eukaryota; Metazoa; Arthropoda; Arachnida; Pseudoscorpiones; Chernetidae.